AAAAUUGUUCUUUCUCCCCUUAACAGAGAUGUCUCUCCAACAGUUAGAAGGGAAUGUUUUGAUUGAUGCAUAUCUGUUUGGUGGUUGUUCCCCACGGAGUUUCACAUCAUUUCCCGAUAAAAUCCCCAGUAGAGUUCUUCUACGAUAGAUCUUAUUGGUAUCCCGUCACUUGUCCCCAAGCAUUUGUUGGAAAAUCCCCGACGGUGAC
This 208-nucleotide long non-coding RNA is filed under the name Lathyrus oleraceus (garden pea). Its description in RNAcentral is "Pisum sativum (pea) long non-coding RNA (PSAT_LNC007542)". The record is from RNAcentral. Lineage: Eukaryota; Viridiplantae; Streptophyta; Magnoliopsida; Fabales; Fabaceae.